GAUGAACGCUGGCGGCGUGCCUAAUACAUGCAAGUCGAGCGAACAGACGAGGAGCUUGCUCCUCUGACGUUAGCGGCGGACGGGUGAGUAACACGUGGAUAACCUACCUAUAAGACUGGGAUAACUUCGGGAAACCGGAGCUAAUACCGGAUAAUAUAUUGAACCGCAUGGUUCAAUAGUGAAAGACGGUUUUGCUGUCACUUAUAGAUGGAUCCGCGCCGCAUUAGCUAGUUGGUAAGGUAACGGCUUACCAAGGCAACGAUGCGUAGCCGACCUGAGAGGGUGAUCGGCCACACUGGAACUGAGACACGGUCCAGACUCCUACGGGAGGCAGCAGUAGGGAAUCUUCCGCAAUGGGCGAAAGCUUGACGGAGCAACGCCGCGUGAGUGAUGAAGGUCUUCGGAUCGUAACACUCUGUUAUUAGGGAAGAACAAAUGUGUAAGUAACUAUGCACGUCUUGACGGUACCUAAUCAGAAAGCCACGGCUAACUACGUG
This 497-nucleotide ribosomal RNA is filed under the name uncultured bacterium. RNAcentral describes it as "partial 16S ribosomal RNA". It matches the Rfam family "Bacterial small subunit ribosomal RNA", at positions 28 to 507 of the family's 1533-position model. The record is from RNAcentral.